This 879-nucleotide ribosomal RNA is filed under the name uncultured bacterium. Its description in RNAcentral is "bacterial SSU rRNA". It matches the Rfam family "Bacterial small subunit ribosomal RNA", at positions 610 to 1501 of the family's 1533-position model. The record is from RNAcentral.
CAACCGUAAAAUUGCAGUUGAUACUGUCAGUCUUGAGUACAGUAGAGGUGGGCGGAAUUCGUGGUGUAGCAGUGAAAUGCUUAGAUAUCACGAAGAACUCCGAUUGCGAAGGCAGCUCACUGGACUGCAACUGACACUGAUGCUCGAAAGUGUGGGUAUCAAACAGGAUUAGAUACCCUGGUAGUCCACACAGUAAACGAUGAAUACUCGCUGUUUGCGAUAUACAGUAAGCGGCCAAGCGAAAGCAUUAAGUAUUCCACCUGGGGAGUACGCCGGCAACGGUGAAACUCAAAGGAAUUGACGGGGGCCCGCACAAGCGGAGGAACAUGUGGUUUAAUUCGAUGAUACGCGAGGAACCUUACCCGGGCUUAAAUUGCAGUGGAAUGAUGUGGAAACAUGUCAGUGAGCAAUCACCGCUGUGAAGGUGCUGCAUGGUUGUCGUCAGCUCGUGCCGUGAGGUGUCGGCUUAAGUGCCAUAACGAGCGCAACCCUUAUCUUCAGUUACUAACAGGUCAUGCUGAGGACUCUGGAGAGACUGCCGUCGUAAGAUGUGAGGAAGGUGGGGAUGACGUCAAAUCAGCACGGCCCUUACGUCCGGGGCUACACACGUGUUACAAUGGGGGGUACAGAAGGCAGCUAGCGGGUGACCGUAUGCUAAUCCCAAAAUCCUCUCUCAGUUCGGAUCGAAGUCUGCAACCCGACUUCGUGAAGCUGGAUUCGCUAGUAAUCGCGCAUCAGCCACGGCGCGGUGAAUACGUUCCCGGGCCUUGUACACACCGCCCGUCAAGCCAUGGGAGCCGGGGGUACCUGAAGUACGUAACCGCAAGGAUCGUCCUAGGGUAAAACUGGUGACUGGGGCUAAGUCGUAACAAGGUAACC